RNAcentral lists this unclassified non-coding RNA (404 nucleotides) under plant metagenome. RNAcentral describes it as "partial contains small subunit ribosomal RNA, internal transcribed spacer 1, and 5.8S ribosomal RNA". The record is from RNAcentral.
UUUCCGUAGGUGAACCUGCGGAAGGAUCAUUGUCACACAUCCUAAUGGAUGCUUGUGCCAACAAGCAGACCCAGCGAACCAUUCUCCUAUCACUUGAGGGGCUGCAUCGCGAGGUGCAGCUGUCUGCGGUCGGGCCCUUGCUUCAGGGCCGGAGUCCUUGCUGGGUUCACCGUUGCAGGUGAGCACCGGCCGUCCGACGGGGGCCGCUCUUGGGCCUCGCACACGGGAGAGUGCGGGGGCGGCGUUUCCCACUCCAGCUGUCCCUUCCGGGGCAGCUGCGCAACCAACCAAAACACUAUGCAAAAACCGACUGAAGACCGAUCCUUUGCGGGCGCCUUCGGGAGCCCUGCCUCGGAUCAAAAACAAACUAAAGACAACUCUCAACAACGGAUAUCUUGGCUCUC